GCUUUAACACAUGCAAGUCGAACGGAAACGAUGGUAGCUUGCUACCAGGCGUCGAGUGGCGGACGGGUGAGUAAUGCAUAGGAAUCUGCCUUUUAGUGGGGGAUAACGUGGUGAAAACCACGCUAAUACCGCAUAAUCUNUACGGAGGAAAGCGGGGGAUCUUCGGACCUCGUGCUGAAAGAUGAGCCUAUGUCAGAUUAGCUAGUUGGUGGGGUAAUUGCCUACCAAGGCGACGAUCUGUAGCUGGUCUGAGAGGACGAUCAGCCACNCUGGGACUGAGACACGGCCCAGACUCCUACGGGAGGCAGCAGUGGGGAAUAUUGGACAAUGGGGGCAACCCUGAUCCAGCAAUGCCGCGUGUGUNAAGAAGGCCUGCGGGUUGUAAAGCACUUUCAGUAGGGAGGAAAAGUUUAAGGUUAAUAACCUUAGGCCCUGACGUUACCUACAGAAGAAGCACCGGCUAACUCCGUGCCAGCAGCCGCGGUAAUAC
This 490-nucleotide ribosomal RNA is filed under the name uncultured Gammaproteobacteria bacterium. Its description in RNAcentral is "bacterial SSU rRNA". It matches the Rfam family "Bacterial small subunit ribosomal RNA", at positions 46 to 526 of the family's 1533-position model. The record is from RNAcentral. Lineage: Bacteria; Pseudomonadati; Pseudomonadota; Gammaproteobacteria.